This 253-nucleotide ribosomal RNA is filed under the name uncultured bacterium. RNAcentral describes it as "partial 16S ribosomal RNA". It matches the Rfam family "Bacterial small subunit ribosomal RNA", at positions 524 to 776 of the family's 1533-position model. The record is from RNAcentral.
UACGGAGGAUGCGAGCGUUGUUCGGAAUCACUGGGCUUAAAGCGCAUGUAGGCGGGCCAUCAAGUGGCUUGUGAAAUCCCCCGGCUCAACCGGGGAAUGGCUCGGCAAACUGAUGGUCUUGAGGCAGGUAGAGGUGACCGGAACCUUCGGUGGAGAGGUGAAAUUCGUAGAUAUCGAAGGGAACGCCGGUGGCGAAAGCGGGUCACUGGGCCUGUCCUGACGCUGAGAUGCGAAAGCGUAGGUAGCGAACGGG